Anas platyrhynchos (mallard) is the source of this 1166-nucleotide long non-coding RNA. RefSeq lists it as uncharacterized. The record is from RefSeq and is a predicted model, not a curated record. NCBI's taxonomy places the organism in Eukaryota, Metazoa, Chordata, Aves, Anseriformes, Anatidae.
GGCAGCAACACCCGCCGCGCUCAGCCCCUUUUCCCUCCUCCCUCCGCCCCUCGCUUGUCCCCGAGCUGAGCUUGGGGCUCGGGCGGGAGGAGGAGGAGGAGGAAGAGGAGAAGAAGGGACAGGGACAGGGGUACUUUUUAAGGGCUCUGCUCUGGCUCAGCACCACUCUGGAAGCCUCCAGCACCGAGCUGCUCUCCCAGUCCCACUUCUGACUGACUCAAUGGCUGGGGCUCGAUGGCUCCGACCCCAGUGGCAGCAGCACCAGCACCAGCCUGAAGCCCCCAUCCCAGCCCCAGUAUCUUCCCUUUGUGCUGCUCAUCAAGUCUGCACCCUUUCAAAAGCACUAUUUCUUCAUAAGUCAAACUGUUAAAAUGUCCUUUUUUUCAUUACUGCAUCAUGGAACUCUGGGAAUGGAUGGACAGUGAUAAGGAGGUUUUAUUUUUCCUUUUUUUUUUUUUUUUUUUUUCUUAAAGCUCAGAUUCAGGGCCCCAUAUGUGCCUUUAUAAAGAAGUCUGGGUCUCAGGAGACUCAAGUAAUUAUGGUCAUCUGCUGUUUCAGCCUGAUUUAUUUAAUCAGAGUAUGUGUUUUCCUUCUCUUUGUAUUUGUGGGAUGCUCUCCACAAAAGCCAGGAAAUUCAGGACUGGUAAAUGCCCUGACAUCUGAAUAAUUGAAAAUGAGCAAUAUGAUACAGAUACGUCCAAUUCCAGGGUUUUAGCAUUCUGUACGUCAGCACCUGCUCCUGCACUACAGCACACUUAGGCUGGUACAUGGUUUUCAAUGUAAUUCUAACAAAACACUCAGAAACAGCUUAAAAUACCAACAAGAGGCUGCAACGCCUGAGUAAGCAUUAAAAGGAGAUACCUGCUUGGUUUAUACCCAUAAAAAAUGAUGUCACCAGUACGAUUUGCAAGCAGCUCUGCCAGCAAAAAUAUGACCAAUGCUCCAGAGACAUGGGCCUGGCUGUGGUUUCUGUGCCACAGCAGAAGCCCUGCAUGGCCAUGGGGUUGCUUUUGGGGCUCACUAUGGCACCAGUGGCUGUGGGAUGUCACAGGGCUAUAAGAGGUAGGGUGGGCAAGGGGAGGAGGACACCAAGAAAAGAAGUGCGUGGGAGUUGCACUGGAAAAAAAAUGGAGCGGGCGGAAAAACAGAAAAAAAAAAAAAAAAGA